Molecule: long non-coding RNA, 960 nt
Organism: Vicia villosa (hairy vetch)
Lineage: Eukaryota; Viridiplantae; Streptophyta; Magnoliopsida; Fabales; Fabaceae
Exons: 3
Source: RefSeq, a predicted model, not a curated record
GUGCGUCUGAAGAUGAACAUCUACGUUCAGCAGCUCAAAAGAUGAAGAAGAAGUAUGAUAAGUAUUGGGGAUCACAUGAUAAGCUUAACAUGUUGUUGUUGAUUGCUCUAGUUUUCGACCCUAGACGCAAGGUUAGAUUGGUUGAUUGGAUGGUACGACGAUAUUAUAAUAAGGUUGAUGCUGAUGCCUUGAAAGGAACCUUAGAGUCUUGCUUGACAUCUAUUUAUGAGGAAUAUUGUGUUGGAUUUAUGUGUCCUCAAGGUAAUUCAAAUGAGCCGCAAGUUUUUGGUAGUGUUAGUCAUCCUUAUGGAACUGUUGAGUUCUAUCUUUCAGAAGGGUGUGACAAUGCAGAUAAUGAAUUAAUUUCUUAUCUUGGAGAGAAGUUAGAGCAUAACAUGGAGAUAAAUGUUCUAGAGUGGUGGAGAGUAAACUCUGGCCGCUAUCCCAUCCUUGCAAACAUUGCAAGAGAUGUGCUAGCUAUACCAAUAAGCACAGUGGCGUCUGAGUCUGCAUUCAGUACAUGAGAAAGGGUGCUUGAUCCAUAUCGUAGCUCAUUAACACCUAAAACAGUCGAAGCACUGAUAUGCACUCAGGAUUGGCUCAAAGGAACAUCUUCAUCCUUGAUUACAAAUGAAGAUUUUGAUCUUCUUGAGAGAUAUGAGCAAGAAUUACUUUAUACGGAAGAUGGUGCUAGCUGUUCAACAUCUUCAACCUCUGUUGCACUUGAAAAAGACUUGUCGGUUUAAUUGUUGUACUGCACUCGGUUGAAAUUGGGAUGGGACUUGAGGAAGAAUUUGGCAUUAGCGUGGAAGAAGAAAGUGCUCUGAGCUUCUUGAAACCAAGGCUUAAACCAACACAGAGGAGGACUUAACAUGUCCAUUUUGGAGUGUCUAUUUUUUGUUGCUAUAUGAUAUUUGGUGUGUCAGUCUAAUUAAACUUCAUGUAAUUGCUAGAUGUUUU